ACAUUAAUUUUAUGAUGAUGAUGAUAAUGGUGGUGGUAGUAGUGAUAAUAUAUAAUCUAAUGCAUUUUUUCGUUAUAGUGCAAAGGGUUCAGACUGUGGUCUAGUGAAUGUCAACAUCCCAACUAACGGCGCAGAGAUCGGAGGAGCUUUUGGUGGUGAAAAACAAACUGGUGGCGGACGAGAGUCUGGUAGUGAUGCCUGGAAAUCUUACAUGAGGAGAUCAACAUGCACCAUUAACUACAGCAAAGAUCUACCUCUUGCUCAAGGAAUUAAAUUUGGUUAAGCACACCUCCACUUGCUACUUACAAAGUAAGCAACAUAUUUUACAAAAAGAGUAGAAAACCAGGCCACGGCUAUAUUGUGCACAAAAAUGUUUGAAAAAUAGCUGGACUUUCGUCACCUAGUGAUAGAAUUGUUUUAAUUUAAACAGUUUUCAUACGAGUUGCAAUUGAAAAUAAUGCACUUUGAAAUGCACUGUGGUUGGUUGGUAUAGUAUUUGCUAGGUGUUGGAAACCAUUUGAGAGUUGAGAACUGUGGUAUCUGUUUCGCAGGCUAUGUCUGACGCUAAUGGAAAUCUAACGUAUUGAAUACACUGCGUACUAAAUAUAUUCCUUAACACUAAUAAAAAGCACUGUUUUUCAAA
Molecule: long non-coding RNA, 643 nt
Organism: Actinia tenebrosa (Australian red waratah sea anemone)
Lineage: Eukaryota; Metazoa; Cnidaria; Anthozoa; Actiniaria; Actiniidae
Source: RefSeq, a predicted model, not a curated record